Molecule: unclassified non-coding RNA, 336 nt
Filed under: soil metagenome
Description: partial contains 5.8S ribosomal RNA, internal transcribed spacer 2, and large subunit ribosomal RNA
Rfam family: 5.8S ribosomal RNA (bases 1-120)
Source: RNAcentral
GAUGAAGAACGUAGCGAAAUGCGAUAAGUAAUGUGAAUUGCAGAAUUCAGUGAAUCAUCGAAUCUUUGAACGCACAUUGCGCCCGCCAGUAUUCUGGCGGGCAUGCCUGUUCGAGCGUCAUUUCAACCAUCAAGCCCCCGGCUUGUGUUGGGGACCUGCGGCUGCCGCAGGCCCUGAACAGCAGUGGCGGGCUCGCUGUCACACCGAGCGUAGUAGCAUACAUCUCGCUCUGGGCGUGCUGCGGGUUCCGGCCGUUAAACCACCUUCAUAACCCAAGGUUGACCUCGGAUCAGGUAGGAAGACCCGCUGAACUUAAGCAUAUCAAUAAGCGGAGGA